This 1554-nucleotide ribosomal RNA is filed under the name Klebsiella pneumoniae. RNAcentral's name for it is "bacterial SSU rRNA". It matches the Rfam family "Bacterial small subunit ribosomal RNA". The record is from RNAcentral. Lineage: Bacteria; Pseudomonadati; Pseudomonadota; Gammaproteobacteria; Enterobacterales; Enterobacteriaceae.
ACUUAAAUUGAAGAGUUUGAUCAUGGCUCAGAUUGAACGCUGGCGGCAGGCCUAACACAUGCAAGUCGAGCGGUAGCACAGAGAGCUUGCUCUCGGGUGACGAGCGGCGGACGGGUGAGUAAUGUCUGGGAAACUGCCUGAUGGAGGGGGAUAACUACUGGAAACGGUAGCUAAUACCGCAUAACGUCGCAAGACCAAAGUGGGGGACCUUCGGGCCUCAUGCCAUCAGAUGUGCCCAGAUGGGAUUAGCUAGUAGGUGGGGUAAUGGCUCACCUAGGCGACGAUCCCUAGCUGGUCUGAGAGGAUGACCAGCCACACUGGAACUGAGACACGGUCCAGACUCCUACGGGAGGCAGCAGUGGGGAAUAUUGCACAAUGGGCGCAAGCCUGAUGCAGCCAUGCCGCGUGUGUGAAGAAGGCCUUCGGGUUGUAAAGCACUUUCAGCGGGGAGGAAGGCGUUAAGGUUAAUAACCUUGGCGAUUGACGUUACCCGCAGAAGAAGCACCGGCUAACUCCGUGCCAGCAGCCGCGGUAAUACGGAGGGUGCAAGCGUUAAUCGGAAUUACUGGGCGUAAAGCGCACGCAGGCGGUCUGUCAAGUCGGAUGUGAAAUCCCCGGGCUCAACCUGGGAACUGCAUUCGAAACUGGCAGGCUAGAGUCUUGUAGAGGGGGGUAGAAUUCCAGGUGUAGCGGUGAAAUGCGUAGAGAUCUGGAGGAAUACCGGUGGCGAAGGCGGCCCCCUGGACAAAGACUGACGCUCAGGUGCGAAAGCGUGGGGAGCAAACAGGAUUAGAUACCCUGGUAGUCCACGCCGUAAACGAUGUCGAUUUGGAGGUUGUGCCCUUGAGGCGUGGCUUCCGGAGCUAACGCGUUAAAUCGACCGCCUGGGGAGUACGGCCGCAAGGUUAAAACUCAAAUGAAUUGACGGGGGCCCGCACAAGCGGUGGAGCAUGUGGUUUAAUUCGAUGCAACGCGAAGAACCUUACCUGGUCUUGACAUCCACAGAACUUAGCAGAGAUGCUUUGGUGCCUUCGGGAACUGUGAGACAGGUGCUGCAUGGCUGUCGUCAGCUCGUGUUGUGAAAUGUUGGGUUAAGUCCCGCAACGAGCGCAACCCUUAUCCUUUGUUGCCAGCGGUCCGGCCGGGAACUCAAAGGAGACUGCCAGUGAUAAACUGGAGGAAGGUGGGGAUGACGUCAAGUCAUCAUGGCCCUUACGACCAGGGCUACACACGUGCUACAAUGGCAUAUACAAAGAGAAGCGACCUCGCGAGAGCAAGCGGACCUCAUAAAGUAUGUCGUAGUCCGGAUUGGAGUCUGCAACUCGACUCCAUGAAGUCGGAAUCGCUAGUAAUCGUAGAUCAGAAUGCUACGGUGAAUACGUUCCCGGGCCUUGUACACACCGCCCGUCACACCAUGGGAGUGGGUUGCAAAAGAAGUAGGUAGCUUAACCUUCGGGAGGGCGCUUACCACUUUGUGAUUCAUGACUGGGGUGAAGUCGUAACAAGGUAACCGUAGGGGAACCUGCGGUUGGAUCACCUCCUUACCUUAAAGAA